This is a non-coding RNA of Mesorhizobium loti, 122 nucleotides long. The record is from Rfam. NCBI's taxonomy places the organism in Bacteria, Pseudomonadati, Pseudomonadota, Alphaproteobacteria, Hyphomicrobiales, Phyllobacteriaceae.
GGCAUUUCGCCAGGGUCGACCUCCUCCCCGACCCUGACGGAUACGGUCAACCUUCACCUCCUCCCGAGGGUUGACCACCGAAACGGCGCCCGCCGGACCUCCUCCCCCGGCGGGCGUUGUUC